This 200-nucleotide ribosomal RNA is filed under the name uncultured bacterium. RNAcentral's name for it is "partial 16S ribosomal RNA". It matches the Rfam family "Bacterial small subunit ribosomal RNA", at positions 8 to 228 of the family's 1533-position model. The record is from RNAcentral.
AGAGUUUGAUCCUGGCUCAGGAUAAACGCUGGCGGCGUGCCUAACACAUGCAAGUCGAACGCUCUCGGGCAACUGAGAGAGUGGCGGACGGGUGAGGAACACGUGGGUAUCUGCCUUUCGGUGAGGAAUACCGGCGAGAAAUCGCCGACAAAACCGCAUAGCCUUGGCAACAAGGAAAGUCGCAAGACGCCGAGAGAUGA